CACCCAGAUUACACCGUCCGGCAGUUGCUGGACAUUCGUCGUCGGGGCAGGGGGUAUCAGUACCUCGUGGAUUGGGAGGGUUAUGGGCCAGAGGAAAGGAGCUGGGUUUCGCGGGGCCUCAUCCUCGACCCCUCCCUCAUCCGGGAUUUUCAUCGGGCUCACCCAGAGAGGCCUAGGCCGCCUGGAGGCGUCCAUUGAGGGGAGGGUACUGUUGUGGUCACAGCAGUCUGCUGUGUUUUUCCUCCUCCUGGGUUUGCCACUCCCCCUGUCGGUCUCACUUCACACCUGGCCGUCAUCUGCAAUCAUGCUCACCUGGUCGUCAUCUCCAAUCAACUCCCCUUCAUAAACCCUUGGAUUCCCUGCUGUCGGUGCCAGAUCGUACUUCGCUCUACAGUGUUAUCCGGAUCACGCACUCCAGCUCGCCUGCCUCACCCUCCCCCCGGCUUCCGCGUCCUCUACCUGCUCCUCCACCUCAUUCAAUAAACCCCCUUGCAUCAAUUCAA
Molecule: long non-coding RNA, 503 nt
Organism: Eleginops maclovinus (Patagonian blennie)
Lineage: Eukaryota; Metazoa; Chordata; Actinopteri; Perciformes; Eleginopidae
Exons: 2
Source: RefSeq, a predicted model, not a curated record